Epinephelus fuscoguttatus (brown-marbled grouper) is the source of this 1927-nucleotide long non-coding RNA. RefSeq lists it as uncharacterized. Lineage: Eukaryota; Metazoa; Chordata; Actinopteri; Perciformes; Serranidae. The record is from RefSeq and is a predicted model, not a curated record. The transcript is spliced from 3 exons.
GAGUGGGAAGAAACAAGUUUCUAGUACGCUUUUCAGUUCGCUUCAGAAUUAGAGAACUUAAAAAUUAGGAGACACAAAAGCAAGGUUUAUUUUUUUCAAACACAACAAUAAAGGCUUCUAACAGCUGUAAAUAAAAGUCUCAAUGAACAUCUCAUAAGUGUUUCUCUGCAGUCAUCUCUUGGAUAUAUCAUCUGCGAUUUCACAACAUUUGAAACGUCAUAGACCUGAUCCUGCUACAAAGAAGAGUAACACAAUGGUAUUUAUUAUGUGUUGGGUGUGGGUACAGGUGUAGUUUAAGUUAGCAUUAUCCAGUACAUCCAGUUUGACCUCCCUGGCACUAUCUUGUCUGAGCAAGUUGGAAAAAACUGUCUGGAUGCGCUCCAAGAACAUGUCCCUGAACAGGUAUCAGAGGCUGAGUCUACGGUGUGAUGAAACAACAGUCUCCAAUUACACCACAAGCUGCUGUUGCUAGUUAGUGCAACUUUCAGGAUUUCAGUUCAGGUAACAGCCACUUCGAUUUGGCAGCUGCUGCUUUCACUCAGCUGAGAGCAGAGCAACCACGAGGAGGAGGGAGCAGAGCGAGGGGGCCGAGAAGUGGGAAGGGAGGACGAGAGGCUAGCUGGGGAGAGGAGGGAGUCAAUAAGUUGACUGAGAUGUUUACAGCAUUGUUAAAGUACAACGCCACUGAGGUCUGCCACUGAUGUUGGGUAAUGAGAUCUGGCUCACAGUUCAUCCCAAAGGUUUCUGAUGGGGGCUGAGGUCAGGGCUCAGGAUGUUCAGGAAGUUCUGCCCCACCAAACUGGGAAAGAACAUGUCUUCAUGGACCUGGCUGUUCUGCACAGGGGUACUGCCGUGUUGGAACAGGAAAGGGAGAAUCAAAAUUGUUGCUACAGAGUUUGUAGCAGACCGCUGUCUGAGGCACCUUGGAGGGGUCACAACAUUGACCUGAUGGGUUGUGAGAUGACUGACAGGAUGAGAAAGGAGACAUAACCUGUAGAAUGUAAGAAGGAAAUCACACUUUGGCUGACAUGGCAGACAUAUGCAGAGGGUGAUGAGGGUUUCAAGUAGACAUUACCCCCAAGCCAAGAGUGUUGGGAACCACUUCUAUAAUGUAUAAUAAAAAUACCACUUGACAUUUCCUUGUUUCAGGUGAACACUGGAUACUCCCAGUUAAACUUAAAAGGGGAAAGCAAGCUUAGAUGUCAGAAGUAGACAUUACAUCAUUUAAGGGGUAAUACAUUACAGUAUAUCGACAUAUACAAAUCAUACACUCACUCAUAUACAUACUUUAGAAUCAUUUCAAACCACAAUCUUAGUGGGCAGCAGCAUUAAUUGGUACUUCAGAAUUGUAUUUCUCUGCCAGUUUUAAGACGUGACUUGGUGUCUGUGUGGGUGCAGAAAAAAAAGGCUAUGACUGAUUUUGAUUGAUGCCAACAUUCACAAAAUCCCACAGCACCGGUAUUCAUGUGCAUACAGGCAAGAGUUUAACUCAAUCUAAAUGGCAAUAUCAGCACAUUAUAUGCAAAUACAAUCUGAGCCACAGGGAGACAGUUAAUGCAAAUAAAUCACAUUUGCAACACACAGCCAGUUCCACAGCUCCUGCAGCUUCCUGGCCCACACUCCCCCCACGCUUCACACUUGCAAACAAAGUAUUCCCUUUUGGUGUCCAGGCUAUCGUCUGCAAUUGUUUCACACCCUGAGUGUUAAGGAGACAUGUUUAUCACAUGCAUAUCACAGCCUCCAGGGUAUGAUGAACCUUUUAGCUUCUACUUCAGGGGGUGCAGGAAAUAUCAAUCCCCCACCUCUACUUUUGGUUGCAGCCUCAAGUCAGCCAGGGUAGAACUCUCCCUCUCUUUGUAUUGUGUGAUGUGAAAUGUGGUUUUGUUAUACUGAACAACACAAAUAAACUUGACUCUACUUUUGUCAA